GACGAACGCUGGCGGCGUGCCUAAUACAUGCAAGUAGAACGCUGAAGGAGGAGCUUGCUUCUCUGGAUGAGUUGCGAACGGGUGAGUAACGCGUAGGUAACCUGCCUGGUAGCGGGGGAUAACUAUUGGAAACGAUAGCUAAUACCGCAUAAGAGUAGAUGUCGCAUGACAUUUGCUUAAAAGGUGCAAUUGCAUCACUACCAGAUGGACCUGCGUUGUAUUAGCUAGUUGGUGAGGUAACGGCUCACCAAGGCAACGAUACAUAGCCGACCUGAGAGGGGGGUCGGCCACACUGGGACUGAGACACGGCCCAGACUCCUACGGGAGGCAACAAUAAGGAAUCUUCGGCAAUGGACGGAAGUCUGACCGAACAACGGCGCGUGAGUGAAGGAGGUUUUCGGAUCGGAAAGCUCUGUUGUAAGGGAAGGACGAGUUUGAGAGUUGAAAGUUCACACUGUGACGGUACCUUACCAGAAAGGGACGGCUAACUACGUG
This 495-nucleotide ribosomal RNA is filed under the name uncultured bacterium. RNAcentral describes it as "partial 16S ribosomal RNA". It matches the Rfam family "Bacterial small subunit ribosomal RNA", at positions 28 to 507 of the family's 1533-position model. The record is from RNAcentral.